Molecule: ribosomal RNA, 274 nt
Filed under: uncultured Peptostreptococcaceae bacterium
Lineage: Bacteria; Bacillati; Bacillota; Clostridia; Peptostreptococcales; Peptostreptococcaceae
Description: partial 16S ribosomal RNA
Rfam family: Bacterial small subunit ribosomal RNA
Source: RNAcentral
UGCAAGUCGAGCGAUCUUCUUCGGAAGAGAGCGGCGGACGGGUGAGUAACGCGUGGGUAACCUGCCCUGUACACACGGAUAACAUACCGAAAGGUAUGCUAAUACGGGAUAACAUAAGAAAUUCGCAUGUUUUUCUUAUCAAAGCUCCGGCGGUACAGGAUGGACCCGCGUCUGAUUAGCUAGUUGGUGAGAUAACAGCCCACCAAGGCGACGAUCAGUAGCCGACCUGAGAGGGUGACCGGCCACAUUGGGACUGAGACACGGCCCAAACUCC